Molecule: ribosomal RNA, 630 nt
Filed under: uncultured bacterium
Lineage: Bacteria
Description: bacterial SSU rRNA
Rfam family: Bacterial small subunit ribosomal RNA
Source: RNAcentral
UCAGCUUGUUGGUGAGGUAACGGCUCACCAAGGCGACGACGGGUAGCUGGUCUGAGAGGAUGUCCAGCCACACUGGGACUGAGACACGGCCCAGACCCCUACGGGAGGCAGCAGUUAGGAAUCUUGCGCAAUGGACGAAAGUCUGACGCAGCGACGCCGCGUGCGGGAUGAAGGCCUUCGGGUUGUAAACCGCUUUCAGCAGGGACGAAAUUGACGGUACCUGCAGAAGAAGCCCCGGCCAACUACGUGCCAGCAGCCGCGGUAAUACGUAGGGGGCAAGCGUUGUCCGGAUUUAUUGGGCGUAAAGAGCUCGUAGGUGGUUCGGUAAGUCGGAUGUGAAAUCUCCAGACUCAACCUGGAGGGGUCAUUCGAUACUGCCGCGACUAGAGGUCGGUAGGGGAGUGUGGAAUUCCUGGUGGAGCGGUGAAAUGCGCAGAUAUCAGGAGGAACACCCGUAGCGAAGGCGGCACUCUGGGCCGAUACUGACACUGAGGAGCGAAAGCGUGGGGAGCGAACAGGAUUAGAUACCCUGGUAGUCCACGCCGUAAACGUUGGGCACUAGGUGUGGGACUCUAUCGACGGGUUCCGUGCCGUAGCUAACGCAUUAAGUGCCCCGCCUGGGGAGUACGG